Molecule: long non-coding RNA, 890 nt
Organism: Gallus gallus (chicken)
Lineage: Eukaryota; Metazoa; Chordata; Aves; Galliformes; Phasianidae
Source: Ensembl
AUUAUUUGGUGCUCCUGGCCGGUUUGGGCUGCAGGAGGUGAGGCUGGAAAAGCCGAGAGCCCAAACUGCAGCCUUGGAGCCUUCUUGGUGGAAUUGCAGCUGGAAACGAAUUGCUGGUUUGAAUUGCUAAUAAUGAUAUAGACUAAUGAGCAACAUCAGAAAUGAUGGCAUGUGUAAUCAGUGCUGCUUGAUAGCAAACAUACAGCAGGUCUGCAGGAGCUCCUGGCAGAGGGGGAGAGGGGAAAGAGAGCACGGCGUGUUUUGGAGAGGCAGAGCUCAGCCCCGAGCUGACAGAGCUGGUUCUGUCUGCAGGGUGUCCUCUUUCGAACUGACAAAGGGAAAGCUGUGCCAGUUCGUGAACCGCUGCUCCACGAGCAAGAUCCUACAGCCGUGCGAAGGAGAUUCGCUCGCGCCUUUCCGAGCACACGCGCGUUGUAUCCCCGCUGCCCGCCCCGUCCCGCUGCCGUCGGUGGGUACGGAGCGGUCCCGGUGCCGUAACGCAGCGCUCGGGGCGGCCCCGCGGCCUCCGCUCGUUUCUCCGUUCUCCCGAACCGAGGGGAAAUCGCACCAAAUCGCGCUCGCGUUUGGUGUUAUUGCGAGCAUUAGCGGUUUGUGCUCGGCUCGUCUCCUCUGGCAACAGGAGAAGCUUGAAAUGUCAAAGGGGAGGGUUAACAAACUCCGCCGGCAUAAAUUGCAAUGCGUGUUCCUUAGGAAAGCCGCUAAGUUAAAAAAAAAUAAAAAAAAUAAAAAAUUAAACCUUCCUGUCUGCGCUUUCUUUCGGCUGCUGUUCACAAUGGAUAAUAAUUCUUACAUUAAGCCCCUUCGGCCCUCCAGGGAAAUCAAAAUUGUAAUAUCAGUUUGCUUUUUAUUGGCUCGGCUCUACGAUCUCG